Molecule: long non-coding RNA, 481 nt
Filed under: Helianthus annuus (common sunflower)
Lineage: Eukaryota; Viridiplantae; Streptophyta; Magnoliopsida; Asterales; Asteraceae
Description: hypothetical non coding rna
Source: RNAcentral
AAGUGUAACAACUUGGUGAUGGUGUAGUUCAUAAUUCUUCUUCUUAUCCAUCGAUCCACCACAAAUCAUCACCAAAACCACUGGUUUUCUUGGCGGAUUUAGUGCUUUGAGUGGUUCAAGAUCCGAUGGUGGUUCCCAGAUCCGGCGGUGGUCAACGAAUCCGAUGUUGAAGAUGUUGUUUCAGAUGUUGAAGAUGACCCCAAAGAUGUUCGAUGUUUAAACAUGAUGUUCCAGAUCUAGAAGAUCCUCCAGAUGGAGCUUUGUUUACAAAUCUACACUUUGAAGAUUAUGUUUCAGAUGUUUGAAGAUGAUGUUUCAGAUGUUGAAGAUGAUUCAAAAGAUGUUUGAUGUUGAACAUAGUUACAUUUUUUUGUGUUACAGAAAUAAUGUCCGUUACAGAAAAUAAAGUGCAUUUGAUCAUGUAAAAUUAUAUGUUACGUUUCUGUGUAAUAUUUUAUGUUAUAGAAAUAAAGUGUGUUAU